GUUGCAAUUUUAGCCUUAUUUUGCAGUUUGGCAGUGUUUGAUGGAUAUCAGCUUGCAGGUUUAAGGUUGUCACGGUUAUUCUUGCAAGAUGGCAUUUUUGCAGAGUGACCUUUUGAUCUAUUAUUCUGACCUGAAUCCUCACUUUUGGAUAGGUUGCAACCAAAGUCCCCUUGUGCUAUUAUGCUGAAGUAAUUUUGACCUUUGUUUGGGUCGAAUGGGGCAAAGGCUACAAUUGGCUUCGAGUUUCCAGUUUAAGGUGAAUUUGAAGUAACUUGAAAAAUAAGUGUGAAAGGCACCCUAGGGAGAUAUCAUGCCAGGGUGAUUUGUGGCUGCAAGUUUGAAGCUUCUUCCUUCCACUUGGCUUGAUUGUGAUGUAAUAAAUCGUGUAAUUGCCAUGUAAAUGACAGAUUUAUAUGUUACACCUUUAAUAAUGGAAUUGAAACACUUAUGUUUGUAAAUCAUAUUUUGUGGUUCAACCAUGUAUACCAAAGUUGGUGAUUCAAACCUUUAA
Long non-coding RNA from Lathyrus oleraceus (garden pea), 511 nucleotides. RefSeq lists it as uncharacterized. NCBI's taxonomy places the organism in Eukaryota, Viridiplantae, Streptophyta, Magnoliopsida, Fabales, Fabaceae. The record is from RefSeq and is a predicted model, not a curated record. The transcript has 2 exons.